GAUGAACGCUGGCGGCGUGCCUAAUACAUGCAAGUAGAACGCUGAAGGAGGAGCUUGCUCUUCUGGACGAGUUGCGAACGGGUGAGUAACGCGUAGGUAACCUGCCUGGUAGCGGGGGAUAACUAUUGGAAACGAUAGCUAAUACCGCAUGACAACAGUUAUUGCAUGAUAACUGUUUAAAAGGGGCAACUGCUCCACUACCAGAUGGACCUGCGUUGUAUUAGCUAGUUGGUGAGGUAACGGCUCACCAAGGCGACGAUACAUAGCCGACCUGAGAGGGUGAUCGGCCACACUGGGACUGAGACACGGCCCAGACUCCUACGGGAGGCAGCAGUAGGGAAUCUUCGGCAAUAGACGGAAGUCUGACCGAGCAACGCCGCGUGAGUGAAGAAGGUUUUCGGAUCGUAAAGCUCUGUUGUAAGAGAAGAACGAGUGUGAGAGUGGAAAGUUCACACUGUGACGGUAUCUUACCAGAAAGGGACGGCUAACUACGUG
Molecule: ribosomal RNA, 495 nt
Filed under: uncultured bacterium
Lineage: Bacteria
Description: partial 16S ribosomal RNA
Rfam family: Bacterial small subunit ribosomal RNA
Source: RNAcentral